AGUCUGAUGGAGCAACGCCGCGUGAGUGAAGAAGGCUUUCGGGUCGUAAAACUCUGUUGUUGGAGAAGAAUGGUCGGCAGAGUAACUGUUGUCGGCGUGACGGUAUCCAACCAGAAAGCCACGGCUAACUACGUGCCAGCAGCCGCGGUAAUACGUAGGUGGCAAGCGUUAUCCGGAUGUAUUGGGCGUAAAGCGAGCGCAGGCGGUUUUUUAAGUCUGAUGUGAAAGCCCUCGGCUUAACCGAGGAAGUGCAUCGGAAACUGGGAAACUUGAGUGCAGAAGAGGACAGUGGAACUCCAUGUGUAGCGGUGAAAUGCGUAGAUAUAUGGAAGAACACCAGUGGCGAAGGCGGCUGUCUGGUCUGUAACUGACGCUGAGGCUCGAAAGCAUGGGUAGCGAACAGGAUUAGAUACCCUGGUAGUCCAUGCCGUAAACGAUGAAUGCUAGGUGUUGGAGGGUUUCCGCCCUUCAGUGCCGCAGCUAACGCAUUAAGCAUUCCGCCUGGGGAGUACGACCGCAAGGUUGAAACUCAAAGGAAUUGACGGGGGCCCGCACAAGCGGUGGAGCAUGUGGUUUAAUUCGAAGCAACGCGAAGAACCUUACCAGGUCUUGACAUCUUUUGAUCACCUGAGA
This 633-nucleotide ribosomal RNA is filed under the name Lacticaseibacillus rhamnosus. RNAcentral describes it as "bacterial SSU rRNA". It matches the Rfam family "Bacterial small subunit ribosomal RNA", at positions 380 to 1004 of the family's 1533-position model. The record is from RNAcentral. Lineage: Bacteria; Bacillati; Bacillota; Bacilli; Lactobacillales; Lactobacillaceae.